Molecule: ribosomal RNA, 468 nt
Filed under: uncultured bacterium
Lineage: Bacteria
Description: partial 16S ribosomal RNA
Rfam family: Bacterial small subunit ribosomal RNA
Source: RNAcentral
GACGACCGCUGGCGGCGUGCUUAACACAUACAAGUCGAACGGAAAGGCCCUGCUUUUGUGGGGUGCUCGAGUGGCGAACGGGUGAGUAACACGUGAGUAACCUGCCCUUGACUUUGGGAUAACUUCAGGAAACUGGGGCUAAUACCGGAUAGGAGCUCCUGCUGCAUGGUGGGGGUUGGAAAGUUUCGGCGGUUGGGGAUGGACUCGCGGCUUAUCAGCUUGUUGGUGGGGUAGUGGCUUACCAAGGCUUUGACGGGUAGCCGGCCUGAGAGGGUGACCGGCCACAUUGGGACUGAGAUACGGCCCAGACUCCUACGGGAGGCAGCAGUGGGGAAUAUUGCACAAUGGGCGGAAGCCUGAUGCAGCAACGCCGCGUGCGGGAUGACGGCCUUCGGGUUGUAAACCGCUUUCGCCUGUGACGAAGCGUGAGUGACGGUAAUGGGUAAAGAAGCACCGGCUAACUACGUG